This 293-nucleotide ribosomal RNA is filed under the name uncultured bacterium. Its description in RNAcentral is "partial 16S ribosomal RNA". The record is from RNAcentral.
GGACUACUGGGGUAUCUAAUCCCAUUCGCGACCCACGCUUUCGUGUUUCAGCGUCAGGAGUGGACCAGUCUGCUGCCUUCGCUUUCGGUGUUCCCCAUGAUAUCAACGCAUUUCACCGCUACACCAUGAGUUCCGCAGACCCCUUCCAUCCUCUUAGUCAUGCCGUUUCCCGCGCGAGCCCUCGGUUGAGCCGAAGGAUUUUACGCGAGACUAACACAACCGCCUACACACCCUUUACGCCCAAUGAUUCCGGAUAACGCUCGAGGCACUCGUAUUACCGCGGCUGCUGGCAC